This 500-nucleotide ribosomal RNA is filed under the name uncultured bacterium. Its description in RNAcentral is "partial 16S ribosomal RNA". It matches the Rfam family "Bacterial small subunit ribosomal RNA", at positions 30 to 523 of the family's 1533-position model. The record is from RNAcentral.
AUUGAACGCUGGCGGCAGGCCUAACACAUGCAAGUCGAGCGGAUGACGGGAGCUUGCUCCUUGAUUCGGCGGCGGACGGGUGAGUAAUGCCUAGGAAUCUGCCUGGUAGUGGGGGACAACGUUUCGAAAGGAACGCUAAUACCGCAUACGUCCUACGGGAGAAAGCAGGGGACCUUCGGGCCUUGCGCUAUCAGAUGAGCCUAGGUCGGAUUAGCUAGUUGGUGGGGUAAUGGCUCACCAAGGCGACGAUCCGUAACUGGUCUGAGAGGAUGAUCAGUCACACUGGAGCUGAGACACGGUCCAGAAUCCUACGGGAGGCAGCAGUGGGGAAUAUUGGACAAUGGGCGAAAGCCUGAUCCAGCCAUGCCGCGUGUGUGAAGAAGGUCUUCGGAUUGUAAAGCACUUUAAGUUGGGAGGAAGGGCAGUAAGCUAAUACCUUGCUGUUUUGACGUUACCGACAGAAUAAGCACCGGCUAACUCUGUGCCAGCCGCCGCCGUAA